This 536-nucleotide ribosomal RNA is filed under the name uncultured bacterium. RNAcentral's name for it is "bacterial SSU rRNA". It matches the Rfam family "Bacterial small subunit ribosomal RNA", at positions 777 to 1311 of the family's 1533-position model. The record is from RNAcentral.
AAUAGAUACCCAGGUAGUCCACGCCGUAAACGAUGAGUGCUAGGUGUUAGGGGUUUCCGCCCUUAGUGCUGCAGCUAACGCAUUAAGCACUCCGCCUGGGGAGUACGGUCGCAAGACUGAAACUCAAAGGAAUUGACGGGGGCCCGCACAAGCGGUGGAGCAUGUGGUUUAAUUCGAAGCAACGCGAAGAACCUUACCAGGUCUUGACAUCUCGCUGACCGCCAUGGAGACAUGGCCUUCCCUUCGGGGACAGCGGUGACAGGUGGUGCAUGGUUGUCGUCAGCUCGUGUCGUGAGAUGUUGGGUUAAGUCCCGCAACGAGCGCAACCCUUGUCCUUAGUUGCCAUCAUUCAGUUGGGCACUCUAAGGAGACUGCCGUACAAAUACGGAGGAAGGUGGGGAUGACGUCAAAUCAUCAUGCCCCUUAUGACCUGGGCUACACACGUGCUACAAUGGGUGGUACAAAGGGCGGCAAAACCCGGCGAGGGGGGAGCGAAUCCCAAAAAGCCACUCUCAGUUCGGAUUGCAGGCUGCAAC